This 245-nucleotide long non-coding RNA is filed under the name Ricinus communis (castor bean). RNAcentral describes it as "long non-coding RNA (RCOM_LNC001001)". Lineage: Eukaryota; Viridiplantae; Streptophyta; Magnoliopsida; Malpighiales; Euphorbiaceae. The record is from RNAcentral.
GAUCUUGAAUCCUAGUUGAAAUAGGAUUCCUUAUUAGAGUAGGAUUCUUAGUGCCAAUAGGAUUUGCAUCAGAUCAUUAAGCUAAGCCAAAAUGCCAACGAUCAAUCUUGUUAAUUGCAUUCUCAUGAUUCCUUAUGCCAAUCCUUGUGUCAUCAGGAGUCCUCGUUCUUAGAGGAACAAGGAAUGAUGUAGAUCAUAGUGGUGCAAAUCCUGGUUCAUAAUAUUUUAGUGUACCUCGAUUCUCG